GCAUCGAUGAAGAACGCAGCAAAAUGCGAUAAGUAAUGUGAAUUGCAGAAUUCAGUGAAUCAUCGAAUCUUUGAACGCACAUUGCGCCCGCCAGUAUUCUGGCGGGCAUGCCUGUUCGAGCGUCAUUUCAACCCUCAAGCUCAGCUUGGUGUUGGGACUCGCGGUAACCCGCGUUCCCCAAAUCGAUUGGCGGUCACGUCGAGCUUCCAUAGCGUAGUAAUCAUACACCUCGUUACUGGUAAUCGUCGCGGCCACGCCGUAAAACCCCAACUUCUGAAUGUUGACCUCGGAUCAGGUAGGAAUACCCGCUGAACUUAAGCAUAUCAAAAGUCGGAGGAA
RNAcentral lists this ribosomal RNA (339 nucleotides) under uncultured Fusarium. RNAcentral describes it as "eukaryotic LSU rRNA". The stretch from base 1 to 125 matches the Rfam family "5.8S ribosomal RNA", at positions 30 to 154 of the family's 154-position model. The record is from RNAcentral. Lineage: Eukaryota; Fungi; Ascomycota; Sordariomycetes; Hypocreales; Nectriaceae.